CUCACCAGGUCAGGACACGGUAAGGAUUGACGGACUGAAGGCUCUUUCUCGAUUCCGUGGAAAGUGGUGCAUGGCCGUUUUUGGUUGGUGGAUCGAUCCGUCUGGUUAAUUCCGUUAACGAACGAGACCUCGGCACUCCGAAUAGCGCGGCGGACGUCGCGGCCUCCGGGCCGUCUUCCGCACGAGCUUCUUAGAGGGACCGUCCCCCGCCGGGGAAGGAGGUGCGAGGCAACGACAGGUCUGUGAUGCCCUUAGAUGUUCUGGGCCGCACGCGCAUUACACUGACGCGUCCAACGGGUGACUCCCGACCCGAAGGGGCCGGGGAAUCGCAAGGCGCGUCGUGAUGGGGAUUGAACGUUGCAAUUGUUGUUCACGAACGAGGAAUUCCUAGUAGGCGCGGGUCAUCAACCCGCGCCGAUUACGUCCCUG
Molecule: ribosomal RNA, 429 nt
Filed under: uncultured eukaryote
Lineage: Eukaryota
Description: bacterial SSU rRNA
Rfam family: Eukaryotic small subunit ribosomal RNA
Source: RNAcentral